UGUGUCUACAAAAAUGUCAGGAACAGCAACUAGAACAGCUGAACUUAAUUUGGGGUUAAUCAGAGGCACUUUAAUUGGUGACAGGUGUGUGCUGACUCCAAUUUAACCUGAGUUUGAAAAUCUGAACACAGACACAUCCCCAGUUAUUAAAGGGUGUGCACACUUAUGCAACCACAUGAUCUCAGUUGUUUAUUUUUACUUCACCUCCCUGAAAGAUUUCUGGGUUUUUUUUUUUCAAUUGUGUUGUACAGGUUAUAGGUCACACUAAAGGUGGAAGAAGUUGGGAAAUUAUUUAUUUUGAUUAAUUUUUUUUACAUGACAAAAACCUGGCAGUUGAACAGGGGUGUGUGGACUUUUUAUAUCCACUGUAUAUAUGCAACAAAUUAACACAAAAUAAAAGAAAGACAAUGUUGCUGUUUGUCCAACUCAGCAGCUUAUCUAUGCCCCGUCUUUUUACAAUAUUAAUUCAUGAAUGUGUUUUUUCAAUGUGUAACAGUAUGACAGCCUGCUGCUGCUGCUUCGUGUCUCCUUCCUUAUAAGACAUGUGGCAACUACCACCUCGAGCGUUCGCAGUUUUCACAAAAUCAACAUUUAAUAAAUCUAUAUGGUUAUUGUCAAUGUCGGUAUGUUACGACAGCCCUAAGAUUAGAUGAAAGUCAAGGGAAUUUUAGGCACUGAUAUUUUUCUUUAAAACCUACAGUAUUUUUUCAUUUUGUUAAUCCAAAGGGGAGGACUCCUUCAUCUGUCGGUGUUAUGUCUCAGUUUCUCUCAGAGGUUUGACUUUGGCUUCCUUCAGCAGUAUGAACCUAAACCUAACCUCUUAUGAUCUUCUCCUUAAAAACAGGUCUUCAGUUUGCUGAAAUAAAAACAUCAUGAUGCAGAUUAGUCCAACGUCAAGCUUUUUCAUGUCUGUCCUCAAGAGGGGAAGAAAACUACUUUGAAAAUGUUUGUUGAAUAAAGGUCAAAUUCAUCAUUUCUGCUGCAUUCGGGGAAGUCAGGAAAUCUAAACUCUGAUCAUCCUCAGUGACUCAGCAUCAGUCAGAUUUGAGUCUCAGUGUAAAUGUUUGAUCUUGAACAGAUUGUUAGCUGACCUUCUUCCAAACAUGUGUUUAAGGAAUCCUCCUCAGAUUACCACCAGAGCUGGAGGUCAUUAUGAUGGACUGUGUCACUCCUGCUUUUGCUCUCUAUACAGACAGUUUUCCUGCAGGUGCCAAAGCCUGGAGGCAGACCCUGGAAAUCACCCGAUUAGUCAAUACUACUCAGACUGAAAGGUAAGCCCUGUCCUUUUACUAUCAGUUUACUGCUUCACCACUAGAGGGCGGCACAUGACUGCCAGUGAAGAUAAAUUAUUUCCAUUGAAGGUGCAUCAUUUCAGAUAGGUUCUCCGUGUACCCUUGACUCUCAUCUCCUCUAUUUAUCAGGUUACCUGUAAAUACAGGUAGGACAACUGAGGGUCAUUCUGGCCUGAGCUCUGUCUCUCAGGCUGCAGGAGGCAGUCCUGCCUGUCUCACUGCUGGAGUGCUGGAGAUUUUUGUGCUGUAAAAAGCCUGAGAGAAGACUGUGGAAACCAACUCAUGUUGGUACACGUUCAUAAUUUUUAUAUGAAUUACAAUUAAGGAAGAUUCAACAGUCACGCGCCCUGUGCCUGCAACAUCCUGUCGGAGCUACGGUUUCACUUUCAGCGAGUAUUGGCGCUGGUUGUUGCUUCUUCAUCUGCGGGUCCAGCUGAAGGUAAAGUAACGGCUGUAAAUAUUCUUAUUUUCCCGUAUUCUCUAUGAAAACGUGUUUAAUGUAGACAAAGUGCAAACAUCGAACCUGACAACCGCCAGGAGGUGAUCUGUAAGGAAUUUCCAGGAAACAGGGUAGAGAGACAAGCGUCAGUGUUGUGAAUGGUGUUAAUGAAUCACAGAAUAAGCUGUCAUUCAUUCAUAUCACUUCAUUGGGACGUACGUGAUCUAAUCAGAGACUGGUGUGUGGUUUCAAUUUAAUGUUCUAACGUUUUCUGUAAAGGCUCUGUAUGACUGUAUUGCGGUUAUUUUUGGCCUUUAUUUACGAUCCUUGAGCACUGAAACCGAAAUUUCUACCAAAGAUUUUAAAUUUAAAAAGAAACACAUAUGUCUUACAUUCAGUAUCAACUCUUAUACUGAGUCACAUUGAUGAUUUAAACUAACGCUUAAGUAUGGGAGGCGUGUUUAUGUGUCGAUCUGGUGAGUUUUUCAUAUAUUGAAAAAUUCUGAUGUAUGCAUUUUACUGUAAUGAUGAAAUUAAAAGUUUAUUUCCAUGGCUUUAAAUACCCCUUCUUGCUAUAAAUGUUUUUAUUAUUAUUAUUAUUAUUAUUAUUAUUAUUAUUAUUAUUAUUAUUAUUAAUGCAGAGAAAAGUAGAAAUCUAAUCUUCAUACAGUGGAUAUAAAAAGUCUACACAACCCUGUUCAACUACCAGGUUUUAGUGAUGUAAGAAAAUGACAGCAAGAUAAAUAUAAUAACUUUUUCCACCUUUAAUGUGACCUAUAACCUGUACAAUGCAAUUGAAAAACAAACUGAAACCUUUAAGGAAAAAUGAAAAAUACAAAAGUUUAAAUAACCUGGUUGCAUAAAUAUGCACACCCUUAAACUAAUACUUUGUUGCAGCACCUUUGGCUUUUAUUACAGCACUCAGUCUUUUUGGGUAGGAGUCUAUCAGCGUGGCACAUCUUGAUGUGGCAAUAUUUGCCCACUCUUCUUUGCAAAACCGCUCAAAAUCUGACAGAUUGACACAUCUCCUAUGCACAGCCCUUUUCAGAUCACCCCACAAUCUUAUUCCGGUGAAACCAUUCUUUUGUUGAUUUAGAUGUGUGCUUUGGGUCAUUGUCAUGCUGAAAGAUGAAGUUCCUUUUCUUCUUCAGCUUUCUAGCAGAAGGCCGAAGGUUUUGUGCCAACACUGACUGGUAUUUGGAACUGUUCAUAAUUCCCUCCACCCUGACUAAGGCACCAGUUCCAGCAUGAUGCUGCCACCACCAUGCUUCACUGUGGGUAUGGUGUUCUUUUGGUGAUGAGCAGUGUUGAUUUUGCGCCAAAUAUACACUUGCAAUGAUGCCCAAAAAGUUCAACUUUGGUUUCAUCAGACCAUAACACAUUUUCCCACAUGCGUUUGGGAGAUUUCAGAUGUCUUUUUGCAAAAUUAAGCCGGGCUUUGGUGUUUUUCUUUGUAAGAUAAGGUUUCCGUCUUGCCACCCUACCCCAUAGCCCAGACAUAUGAAGACAGCAGGAGAUUGUUGUCUCAUGUACUACACAGCCAGUACUUGCCAGAAAUUCCUGCAGCUCCUUCAGUGUUGCUGUCGGCCUCUUGGUAGCCUCCCUGACCAGUUUUCUUCUUGUCUUAUCAUCAAUUUUGGACGGACGUCCUGUUCAUGGUAAUGUCACCGUUGUGCCAUAUUUUCUCCACUUGAUGAUGACGGUCUUUACUGUGUUUCAUGGUGUAUUUAAUUCCUUGGAAAUUCUUUUGUAGCCUCACCUGACUGAUAUCUUUGAAUAAUGAGAUCCCUCUGAUGCUUUGGAAGCUCUCUGUGGACCAUGGCUUGUGCUGGAAGAUGUGGCUACAAAAAUGUCAGCAACUAGAACAGCUGAACUUUAUUUGGGGUUGAUCAGAGGCACUUUAAUUGGUGACAGGUGUGUGCUGACUCCAAUUUAACCUGAGUUUGAAUGUUAUUGGUUAAAUCUGAACACAGCCACAUCCCCAGUUAUUAAAGGGUGUGCACACUUAUGCAACCACAUGAUCUCGGUUGUUAAUUUUUACUUCACCUCCCUGAAAGAUUUCUGUUUGUUUUUCAAUUGUGUUGUACAGGUUAUAGGUCACAUUAAAGGUGGAAGAAGUUGUUAAAUUAUUUAUUUUGAUUAAUUUUUUUUACAUGACAAAAACCUGGCAGUUAAACAGGGGUGUGUAGACUUUUUAUAUCCACUGUACUUUAUAUUGUGGUGUCAGAUGUAAUGACAGGGAUGAUUCCAGAUGAUAACUUGUAUUACUGAAAUAGUCUAAACUAAUCUGUGACUGAUUGUUUAACAUUAAAGCUGCCCAAUCUACUCUUGUUAUUUUAGUUUUAGUUUUACAGACAGGUAGGGGUUUAACUUCUCUUACUGGCUCUUUUGUACAAUGGCCCUGAAGUUCAGCUGUACAAACAUAAGAUCAAAUGCAAAAAUGUCUCUUGAGAACAUUUUUCAAACCCAAACAAAUCACUGGACAGAAAGAGUAUUUGUAAGAAAUUAAUCCACCACACUAAACAUUUUGUACCAAACAUUUUUCGAAGUGGCAUCAAGAUUAAAAGAGCUCAAAAUCAUUCACAGCAAUGACAGUUUACAUUUGUAUGUCCCUAAAUCAGUGGUUCUCAAGUCCAGUCCUUGAGGCCCACUGUCCUGCAUGUUUUGGAUGUUUCCCUGCUCCAACACACCUGAUUCAAAUGAUCAGCUCGUUAUCAAGCCAUUACAGAGCUUGAUAACGAGCUGAUCAUUUGAAUCAGGUGUGUUUACUGGUUUUCUGACACUGACUGGUUCUCUCUGGUUAUUAACUAAAGUUUGUUGCACUGACUGGAUCUUUGGAUUUGGUUCUCUGGCACUGACUGGUUUUCUGUCACUGACUGGUUCUCUGCCAUUCUCUCCAAGGGAGGAUAUGAGCAGUUUCCCCUCUCAGCACAUGAUUGGGGACAGUUUCUUAAAGCUGACAGGUGAGAUUCCUUCCAGAAAGAACUUAAUGUUGUUUCGGCAGUUAUCUGUGGACUCUGGCUUUACCUGAGUUGAAACUGUCUCUCUGGGCUGUACCUUAGAGUUCGGUGUCAGUGUUGUUGACUGUGAAAAGAUUAGUGUCAGGUUUUUUUUUUUUUUUUUGUGCGUGUGUGCGUGUGUGUGUCAGCAGAAGGUUUAUUGUCAUGUGAGUUUUAGUGUGUGAACCAGUCUGUUGGCUGAGGUUAACAAGUCUGGGGGGUUGUGGCCGUCCUCACCUGUUAACACCUUGAGCAGAA
Molecule: long non-coding RNA, 4988 nt
Filed under: Xyrichtys novacula (pearly razorfish)
Lineage: Eukaryota; Metazoa; Chordata; Actinopteri; Labriformes; Labridae
Source: RNAcentral